GCGCCGAUGAUAGUGCGGGGCCUCCCCGUGCGAAAGUAGGUCACCGCCAGGC
RNAcentral lists this ribosomal RNA (52 nucleotides) under Thiohalorhabdus denitrificans. The record is from RNAcentral. Lineage: Bacteria; Pseudomonadati; Pseudomonadota; Gammaproteobacteria; Thiohalorhabdales; Thiohalorhabdaceae.